GCUCCCGUAGUGUAGUGGCCAAUCAUCCAAGCCUCUCGAGUUUGGGACUCGGGUUCAAAUCCCGACGGGAGCA
RNAcentral lists this transfer RNA (73 nucleotides) under Methanomassiliicoccales archaeon. Its description in RNAcentral is "tRNA-Glu". It matches the Rfam family "tRNA". From Rfam's summary of the family: Transfer RNA (tRNA) molecules are approximately 80 nucleotides in length. Their secondary structure includes four short double-helical elements and three loops (D, anti-codon, and T loops). RNAcentral also lists the same sequence under 2 other names. Lineage: Archaea; Methanobacteriati; Thermoplasmatota; Thermoplasmata; Methanomassiliicoccales. The record is from RNAcentral.